RNAcentral lists this ribosomal RNA (748 nucleotides) under cyanobacterium enrichment culture clone 4_16_4.5.3_B09-T7. Its description in RNAcentral is "bacterial SSU rRNA". It matches the Rfam family "Bacterial small subunit ribosomal RNA", at positions 8 to 798 of the family's 1533-position model. Lineage: Bacteria; Bacillati; Cyanobacteriota. The record is from RNAcentral.
AGAGUUUGAUCNUGGCUCAGGAUGAACGCUGGCGGUCUGCUUAACACAUGCAAGUCGAACGGGACUCUUCGGAGUUUAGUGGCGGACGGGUGAGUAACGCGUGAGAAUCUGCCCUUAGGUUGGGGACAACAGUUGGAAACGACUGCUAAUACCCAAUGUGCCGAGAGGUGAAAGGUUAACUGCCGGGGGAUGAGCUCGCGUCUGAUUAGCUAGUUGGAGUGGUAACGGCACACCAAGGCGACGAUCAGUAGCUGGUCUGAGAGGAUGAUCAGCCACACUGGGACUGAGACACGGCCCAGACUCCUACGGGAGGCAGCAGUGGGGAAUUUUCCGCAAUGGGCGAAAGCCUGACGGAGCAAGACCGCGUGAGGGAGGAAGGCCUAUUGGUUGUAAACCUCUUUUGAUAGGGAAGAACACAAUGACGGUACCUAUCGAAUCAGCAUCGGCUAACUCCGUGCCAGCAGCCGCGGUAAUACGGAGGAUGCAAGCGUUAUCCGGAUUUAUUGGGCGUAAAGCGUCCGUAGGUGGCAAACCAAGUCAGUUGUUAAAGCGUAGAGCUUAACUCUAUAAGGGCAAUUGAAACUGGUUAGCUAGAGUGCGAUAGGGGCAAGGGGAAUUCCCAGUGUAGCGGUGAAAUGCGUAGAUAUUGGGAAGAACAUCGGUGGCGAAGGCGCCUUGCUGGGUCUGCACUGACACUGAGGGACGAAAGCUAGGGGAGCGAAAGGGAUUAGAUACCCCUGUAGUCCUA